GUCAGGGCACACCUGGGGUUUGUGAUUCAGACACAAGCGGUGGUUUUUCCACCAUCGAAAGUGCUGAGUCAUGGCAAACAGCAGAUGUUGGCAAGCGCCCUGGAGACAGGCAGUUCCCACGCAGGGCCAGGCCCUCUCUGCCCUACUGGGGGAGCCAGCUCCUCCCGGUUUGCCCAGGGACCAUCCUGCCUUGAGCACUGAAAGUCCUGCAUGCUGGGAAUCCCUGAAGUCUGGGCAACGGGCGGUGGGUCACCCUAGACAUAACCCUGGAAGCGAGGCAGGCUCCGCUGAGCUGGGACUUGGGGCCCCUCCAUGAGCCAGGCCCUGAACGCCGGUGCUUGUGCCCAUGUUAUCUGCUUGACAUCUCGGCAGCCCUGUGCACCUGUCAUCCCACUUCACAGAGGACGCAGGGGCGG
Molecule: long non-coding RNA, 416 nt
Filed under: Homo sapiens (human)
Lineage: Eukaryota; Metazoa; Chordata; Mammalia; Primates; Hominidae
Description: HSALNT0068783
Source: RNAcentral